CUAUCAAUGCAGUCGAGCGACAGAUGAGAAGCUUGCUUCUCUGAUGUUAGCGGCGGACGGGUGAGUAACACGUGGGUAACCUACCUAUAAGACUGGGAUAACUCCGGGAAACCGGGGCUAAUACCGGAUAAUAUUUUGAACCGCAUGGUUCAAUAGUGAAAGACGGUUUCGGCUGUCACUUAUAGAUGGACCCGCGCCGUAUUAGCUAGUUGGUAAGGUAACGGCUUACCAAGGCGACGAUACGUAGCCGACCUGAGAGGGUGAUCGGCCACACUGGAACUGAGACACGGUCCAGACUCCUACGGGAGGCAGCAGUAGGGAAUCUUCCGCAAUGGGCGAAAGCCUGACGGAGCAACGCCGCGUGAGUGAUGAAGGUCUUCGGAUCGUAAAACUCUGUUGUUAGGGAAGAACAAAUUUGUUAGUAACUGAACAAGUCUUGACGGUACCUAACCAGAAAGCCACGGCUAACUACGUGCCAGCAGCCGCGGUAAUACGUAGGUGGCAAGCGUUAUCCGGAAUUAUUGGGCGUAAAGCGCGCGUAGGCGGUUUCUUAAGUCUGAUGUGAAAGCCCACGGCUCAACCGUGGAGGGUCAUUGGAAACUGGGAAACUUGAGUGCAGAAGAGGAGAGUGGAAUUCCAUGUGUAGCGGUGAAAUGCGCAGAGAUAUGGAGGAACACCAGUGGCGAAGGCGGCUCUCUGGUCUGUAACUGACGCUGAUGUGCGAAAGCGUGGGGAUCAAACAGGAUUAGAUACCCUGGUAGUCCACGCCGUAAACGAUGAGUGCUAAGUGUUAGGGGGUUUCCGCCCCUUAGUGCUGCAGCUAACGCAUUAAGCACUCCGCCUGGGGAGUACGACCGCAAGGUUGAAACUCAAAGGAAUUGACGGGGACCCGCACAAGCGGUGGAGCAUGUGGUUUAAUUCGAAGCAACGCGAAGAACCUUACCAAAUCUUGACAUCCUUUGACCGCUCUAGAGAUAGAGUCUUCCCCUUCGGGGGACAAAGUGACAGGUGGUGCAUGGUUGUCGUCAGCUCGUGUCGUGAGAUGUUGGGUUAAGUCCCGCAACGAGCGCAACCCUUAAGCUUAGUUGCCAUCAUUAAGUUGGGCACUCUAGGUUGACUGCCGGUGACAAACCGGAGGAAGGUGGGGAUGACGUCAAAUCAUCAUGCCCCUUAUGAUUUGGGCUACACACGUGCUACAAUGGAUAAUACAAAGGGCAGCGAAUCCGCGAGGCCAAGCAAAUCCCAUAAAAUUAUUCUCAGUUCGGAUUGUAGUCUGCAACUCGACUACAUGAAGCUGGAAUCGCUAGUAAUCGUAGAUCAGCAUGCUACGGUGAAUACGUUCCCGGGUCUUGUACACACCGCCCGUCACACCACGAGAGUUUGUAACACCCGAAGCCGGUGGAGUAACCUUUUAGGAGCUAGCCGUCGAA
Molecule: ribosomal RNA, 1430 nt
Filed under: Staphylococcus sp. Y73
Lineage: Bacteria; Bacillati; Bacillota; Bacilli; Caryophanales; Staphylococcaceae
Description: bacterial SSU rRNA
Rfam family: Bacterial small subunit ribosomal RNA
Source: RNAcentral